AGAAUCAACGCUGGCGGCGUGCCUAACACAUGCAAGUCGAACGCGAAAGCCCCGCAAGGGGUCAGUAGAGUGGCAAACGGGUGAGUAACACGUGGGUGAUCUGCCUCAGAGUGGGGGAUAACGACCCGAAAGGGUCGACUAAUACCGCAUAACAUCCUGCGCUUGGAUGGCGUGGAGAUCAAAGUUGGGAUUCGCAAGAACCUGACGCUUAGAGAGGAGCCCGCGGCCGAUUAGCUAGUUGGUGAGGUAACGGCUCACCAAGGCAACGAUCGGUA
RNAcentral lists this ribosomal RNA (275 nucleotides) under uncultured soil bacterium. RNAcentral's name for it is "partial 16S ribosomal RNA". It matches the Rfam family "Bacterial small subunit ribosomal RNA", at positions 26 to 285 of the family's 1533-position model. The record is from RNAcentral.